CACGCAUCAGUCUAAUGAACUACUCAUCGAAGAUCAGGUAACCUCGUGGUGAAUGAUGCCCCUCCACGUGUUCGACAAAAUGCUUUACUCAAACCCUAACCCAUCAUUGAUCACCUUAUCCCAUUCGAAGCAUCAAAAUCUUUGCUUAUGAUUUCUCUCUCCAAAAGAACGAACCCUUGUCGUGGUUUGCAGCUCUCUGAUGAGCAGGGAACGAGAUUUCUAACGCAGCUCAGGUGCUCGACAACAUGCCUCGAUGGGGUUCCACCCCCAAACAGUUCUUGAUCUAAUGUGUGAUGCAUAUUGAUGGGUUCUCUUUGUCAAUGGGCGAGGAGACAAAUGAAGCUCAUUAACAGCUUGAUCUAAUGUCUCAAAAGAGGACGAUGAACCAGUACAACAUUAUAAAGCAAGGGAGUCCAGUUGGUAAUGGCUGAAUCUUUCAUGGAGUUGAGGAAGAUGAUAGGUUGGGCUACUUAAAUGUGCAAGUUGAUACAAUGAAUGACCGCAACUGUCACUUUAUGUUGGCUUCAGAGGCAAUGAAAUCAUAUGGUGUUAUGGAAACAAAGGAGCCCAUAUCAUGUGGUGAUCAGACUUCUAUACAGUUGAAGAAGAUGAUAUAUCAUGUUAUAUAAACGCAGCAAGUUGAUUCAAUGAAUGACCCCUAACUGUCUCAUCAUGUUGGCUUCAAGGACAAUGAACCAGUACAACAUUAUGACCACAACCAAAAUGCUAUGUGGCUCGCGC
Molecule: long non-coding RNA, 741 nt
Organism: Asparagus officinalis (garden asparagus)
Lineage: Eukaryota; Viridiplantae; Streptophyta; Magnoliopsida; Asparagales; Asparagaceae
Exons: 4
Source: RefSeq, a predicted model, not a curated record